GAUGAAGAACGCAGCGAAAUGCGAUAACUAGUGUGAAUUGCAGAAUUCAGUGAAUCAUCGAAUCUUUGAACGCACAUUGCGCCCGCGAGUAUUCUCGCGGGCAUGCCUGUCCGAGCGUCAUUUCAACCCUCAGGGCCCGCCUGCUUCGGCAGGCGCGGCGCUGGUGUUGGGGAUCGGCCUAACCGCCGUCCCCCAAAUACAGUGGCGGUCUCGCUGCAGCCUCCCCUGCGUAGUAGCAACACUCGCAUGCGGAGCGCGGCGCGGCCACGCCGUAAAACCCCCGACUUUCUGAACGUUGACCUCGGAUCAGGUAGGAAUACCCGCUGAACUUAAGCAUAUCAAUAAGCGGAGGA
Molecule: unclassified non-coding RNA, 353 nt
Filed under: soil metagenome
Description: partial contains 5.8S ribosomal RNA, internal transcribed spacer 2, and large subunit ribosomal RNA
Rfam family: 5.8S ribosomal RNA (bases 1-120)
Source: RNAcentral